RNAcentral lists this long non-coding RNA (1094 nucleotides) under Ixodes scapularis (black-legged tick). Its description in RNAcentral is "uncharacterized LOC120837389, transcript variant X6". Lineage: Eukaryota; Metazoa; Arthropoda; Arachnida; Ixodida; Ixodidae. The record is from RNAcentral.
CGGCCCACAAGCCUGCAGGCGCCAGUUCAUUCUUGUUCAAAGCACCCCAGGAGCUACUAUCGCCCGAAGAUGUCACAGGUGGUCAUGAUUCUUUGAGGCAGCGGAAUUUCACCGCAGUGCAUCUUUAACACCUUCAGUUUCUUUUCUACUGCAAGCCUGGUACUACAGCUUGUGGCCCGUGUAGAAGAAUAGAGGGGUGAAACCAAGGCUCAAGUGACUGUGGACUCAUGGCCCUCAGACAGCUAGAGCACCAGACCAGGCACAGACCAGAGCCAUUUAUGCUCCACUUCUAGAGGACAUGUUGCAGUUUGAAACUACCAAGACUCAUGGAAGCUGCUGACAGGAGGCUGUUGAAGCCGUGGUCGCAAGGCACCCAUGACAUUGAAGUCUUCCAAACAAGGCACUAUGAAGGCAUGACUUGUAGCGGCACUGGAGCAAGCGACACGGUCCGGGUGAGCCGCAAGUGUAACUGUUACACUGUAAACAGGAAAUAUAGACAUGUGUCCGACAAAGCACAGACUCAUAAAACUUUCGUGUAGCAAUAAUAGUUUAAUUUAACUAAACAGUGCAUCAACAGAGCCUGACCCAAGAAUGGGGAAUUGGGGAACCGGCCAAUGUGUAGAGUCUAACAGAAACAAGGAAGGCGAUAAAAACAAAUGGGGCAACAUGUUAAGAUAGGACAAUAAUGUCGUGCCUAUUUUUUGUUUUCAAUUAAGAUUUUAUAGGAGCUAGCAAAAUAUGUCCUUGCAAUGGAAUAGACCUACUUUUACAAAAAGACCUUCAAUGUUUUUGUUAAAAUAAAUUGCGUCUGAGGAGGUGGAAAUAUGAUUUUCCCAAUUGCGCAUUAACAUAUCUUCGAGCUCCACAGGGUAAUAAAACUUCCCGAAACGUAAAUAUUUUUAUGCAUGCUCAGAAGUUUUUUUAAAUAUAGAAAAAGUCAAACAAUUUUUUUGUGAGAAUUCAAAGAUAUUGUCAUCCUCAAUUUUUUUUUUUCAUUUUCGUUAUUGAACACUUAGAAACAUGUAAUUCAGAAUCCACCACCAAGACCUGUUGUAUUCUAUUGUCUUAAAAUAAAGAAAUAACGGUUUUGCCGA